RNAcentral lists this non-coding RNA (28 nucleotides) under Homo sapiens (human). Lineage: Eukaryota; Metazoa; Chordata; Mammalia; Primates; Hominidae. The record is from RNAcentral.
UCCGAGGACGCGGAGGAUGACGAUGAUG